ACUGCUUUCUAUUCAUAAAAAGCAGACGAACCUUCCACUUCAGGCAGAUUAGCUCUUCUCUGGAUCCAAAGACGUCUUAUUGACUGCUAAACAUGAAGUUGAGAUUGAGCUUAAUUUUUAUUUGUGCUCUUUUAAAAGAUGUCCAGUGUGAAGUACAGCUGGUGGAGUCUGGAGGAGGUUUGGUGAAACCUGGGGCUUCUCUGAAACUCUCUUGUGUAGCCUCGGGAUUCACUUUCAGUGACUACUGGAUGAGCUGGGUUCGCCAGACUCCUGGAAAGACCAUGGAGUGGAUUGGAGAUAUUAAAUAUGAUGGCAGUUACACAAACUAUGCACCAUCCCUAAAGAAUCGAUUCACAAUCUCCAGAGACAAUGCCAAGAGCACCCUGUACCUGCAGAUGAGCAAUGUGAGAUCUGAGGACACAGCCACUUAUUACUGUACUAGAGACACAAUGAAUGAACUUCACUGUGAAACUAGACAUAAACCUCACUGUGUUCAGUGUGAAGUGCAGCGGAGAGAGGCAGGGGGAUUCUUGGCACAGUCUGAAAAUUCCAUAAAACUCACCUGUGGCACCUCUGGGUUCCCUUUCUAUGAAUACUGGGUAGUAUGA
This is a non-coding RNA of Rattus norvegicus (Norway rat), 608 nucleotides long. The record is from the annotation of a RefSeq genome assembly. NCBI's taxonomy places the organism in Eukaryota, Metazoa, Chordata, Mammalia, Rodentia, Muridae.